This 991-nucleotide long non-coding RNA is filed under the name Cricetulus griseus (Chinese hamster). RNAcentral's name for it is "lncRNA (ENSCGRG00015033931.1)". The record is from RNAcentral. Lineage: Eukaryota; Metazoa; Chordata; Mammalia; Rodentia; Cricetidae.
UUACUAGUUACUGUGAAUAAAGGCUUCUCUUGAGGAAGUCAUCUGUAGAUACGGUUUUUCUUUACUUUUGGGUUAGGGUUAGGGCCGAUGUAUAUUUAUGCAUGUAGUUGUGAAAGGAGUUAGCCUAAAGAGCAGUGCGGGUGUAGGGAGGCCUGUGGAUAUCGAGACUGUAGAGUGUAUAUGCCAGCAAUAGCGAGCUGUUUCUGAGCUCCUGGAUUGCUUUUAAUCAGCCAUGUGCCCGCACGCUCCCAUUUCUAUUGUCUUAUGCUGGCAUCUGUCAAACACACGUGGCCGCUGGUCUACGUAGGGGCGGGGCGCAGAGAGGAGCUUCCAAGGGAAGGAAGGGGGAAGCUGAAGGCUUCGUUGGAAGAGCUGGGCUGGAGGCGGUCCCACUGGAGAGAAAGGAGGCGGUCCGAGUGUUUCAGGAAAUCUCUCCCCUAGGCGGAUCUAGAAUCUCCAUGGAAAUAAAUCUGUGGACAUGCCUUGGAGGAAUUGCAUGGAUGAGAAUUGCAGAGAGGCUAAAGUUGGUGAGAGCACCAAGUUUCUGAGGGAAUCCCAAGAAGUCAAAAUGAGUAUCAAAGCUGUUUGGUUGUCAACUGGACUACAUCUGGAAUGAACUAAACCCAAGCACUGGGCACACCUGUGAGGGAUUUAUUUUUUUCUUAAUUAAACCAUUUGAAGUAGGAAGACCCACUUCUCAUCCAGAUCUUUGAGGUGAGAAGAAACAACUUUAACCUGAGCCACACCUUCUGCUGGCAGCCUGUGUACAGGACAUGGAAGAAGACAGUUUGCUCCCUUUGCCUGCUUGCUCUCUUGAUCUUGCUGGCAAGCUCACUCCUUCACUGACAUUAGAGCCUACUUUGGGAUUUCAGCAUAUACUGAAGACCAGCUGAGGCAUCCAGCCUCAUGAACCGAACAACUACCGGAUUCUUAGACCUUCCAUUGGCAGACAGCCAUUGUUGGACUAGAUGGACCACAGCCUGUAAGCCAC